AUCAUCCUAACCAGGAUACCGACCUAACAGGUCACUAACAAAGCAUCUCCCUAUCUCUUAGGAUACCAAUCUCAAUCAGGUCUCUAACAUAUACCAUCCUAACUCACAGGAUACAAACAUAUCAAAGCAGCAACAUAACAGCAACUACUCGGAUCUCAAUCCGAUAAGGGCCGACAUUGGUGCCUUAGACCCUGNNNNNNNNNNNNNNNNNNNNNNNNNNNNNNNNNNNNNNNNNNNNNNNNNNNNNNNNNNNNNNNNNNNNNNNNNNNNNNNNNNNNNNNNNNNNNNNNNNNNCGCUGGAGAUAUUCUUGCGAAGGCCUUUCAAGUUGACAUCAACGUUGUCUAUCAAAUUCAAUCGAAAUUCUAGCUUUUACAUGCUUUCAAAAUGUUGAUUUUCCUAUCCAUGUUGUGAUAUUUGUUAUGUUUAUGUUGUUAUAUUUAAAAUCGAAUAAUAUAUAUACUACUGUCAUAGUGAUUUUGAUUUACUUACGUGGAAUUAACUACUUCAAAAGUAAGAUAUAAACUCAAAACCCAAGAGUGUGCAAGAAAUACACUUAGAAAUCACAAAGUUAAAUUGACCUAAGAGUGUGCAAGAAAUAGACUUAGAAAUCAGAAAGACAAACCUAAGUUUGUGCAAGGAAUAGACUUAGAAAUCACAAAGACAAAUUUACGUAAAUAACACACUUGCUUUAGAAAGACUAGAAGUUCAACCGUAAACUUUUUUUUAAAUGAUUAAUAUGGUCCUUGGUGUUUCGUUUAGUUACUAUGUCGGUCAACAUGUGCAACCUAUGCAAAGUUAAUUUAUUAUCCUUUUAACUCUUUUUUGUUAUAAUUAAAAGUGAAAUUAGAUAAACCCCAACCCCAUCCACCUCACUUUAUGCCACCCACCUCCCAUUCCAUUCCCCACCCCUGUUGUCAACCAGAAGGUGUUUAGGGUUUUACCCACACCUAUUUGUAUCAUCUAUCUUCAACCUCUCCAUCUAUAAUCAAAGAAAAAACCUCCCACGAUCCUUGCUUAAAAAUAGAAAUCACGAAUUGGUCUCCAACCACCCUUUAAAGAUUUCCUUAACUAAAAGAAAAUGUUACAUAGUAAAACAUAAAAAUCUAUGUAUGAAAAAGCCACGCCUAUUUGCAUCAUCUAUCUUCAACCUGUCCAUCUAUAAUCAAAGAAAAACUCUCCCAAGAUCCUUGCCAAAAAAUAGAAAUCACGAAUUGGUCUCCGAUCACCCUUUCAAGAUUUCCUUAACUAAAAGAAAAUGUUACAUAGUAAAACAUAAAAAUCUACGAAUGAAAAAGCCACGCCUAUUUGCAUCAUCUAUCUUCAACCUGUCCAUCUAUAAUCAAAGAAAAACCCUCCCAAGAUCCUUGCCUAAAAACAGAAAUCACGAAUUGCCCUCCGACCACCCUUUUAAGAUUUCAUUAACUUAAAGAAAAUGUUACAUAGUAAAACAUAAAAAUCUAUGUAUGAAAAAGCCACAGAGCUUCUCUUGACAUUCAUCGGUAACUAGAAAGUGAGAGCAUCAAACAUAGAAACAAAUAUGUCAAAAAUACAAUGUCACGAAUAUAAAAAGAAAAUGUAUACAUGAUGUCUACUACUUUAAAAAAUUAUAUACACACAUGUAGCUACAUCCAUAUUAAUAUCUAAUAACAUACAAAAUUAAAUGUAACGACCGAAAAAUACAACCAAUUUUAAAUUUUUCAAAAACAGUUCGAUUCCAUUAAAUCUUUACAAAAAGGUUUUCAAUAUAAAACAUUUAACGUAUUCCCAGAAUCACAUUACUACAAAAUUACGAGGAACGGUACGAUCACGCAUUCGCCUUGCCAUAGUCUCCUAAAGAACCUGAAAAACAUGAAACCACAACUGUAAGCCUGAAAGCUUAGUGAGAUAUCCCCAAAAUACCAACCACUAAUACCAUACACGCAUAACAUGCCAUGACAUAUCAGAUCAUAGAACAGCCAUGCACUUCGGGUCUACUGUGUGACUGGUCCGCCACACCGGCCUACAGUCCACCUAGUCCACCCUCUGAGUCUAUCCACAUACAUCGAGUCUGCAGUGUAGUUGGUGCGCCCACUCCCAACCUUCAAUCCACCUGGUCCACUCUCUAAGUCUACAGUAUGACUGGUUCGCCCGCACCGGGCCUUCAGUCUAUCUGGUCCACUCUCCGAGCCUUCGGCACGUCUGGUCCGCCCUUUCGGGGCCUACAGCCUAUCCGGACCGCUCGCUGGGCCUUCGGGACAACCGGUACGCCCUGGGUAUCUUGGCCUACAGCACACAGCAGGACCCGCCUCAACCCAACUCCAGUCCAAACAACCAUGUGCACAUAUACAUANAACCAGGUCUCUAACAUAUACCAUCCUAGCUACCAGGAUGCAAACAUAUCAAAGCAAUAACAUAACAACAAAUACCCGGAUCUCAAUCCGAUAAAGGGCCGGCCUUGGUUCCUUAGACCCUGUUUAUAUAGUGAGGAUAACUCACCUCGAAACUGACGACUGAGCAAAUAACUUAAGCUGUUCCGAUCACUGAUACGAUCUCCACCACUGGACAACCACCAAAGCACUGAACUCAAAACAAUAUCCAACAAUUACCAAAAUUCCCCUUGAAAUCACUGGUCAACCCUUGGUCAAAGUCAAAGCCAACACCUAACUGACUCUACUCGCCGAGUCCCCAUACACAGAACUUCCCCAAUCCUCGACUCAACUCGCUGAGUCACCCCGAGACUCGCCAAGUUCAGCAACUCUGAGUCCACUCGCACACAACUCACCGAGUCAUCCCUUGACUCACUGAUUCUCGGCUCAACCAGAAAAGAUUGGGACUCUUCGACAAGACUCGCCGAGUCCAAGAAUAGACUCGUCGAGUCUAAGGCUAUCUUCAACUUACUCGCCGAGUUGUUCUUCCAACUCGUCGAGUUCCAGGCCAUCUUCAUCCAACUCGCCGAGUUCCAGCCUAUCUUCAAGCAACUCGCCGAGUCCACCCAUGUGACUCGUCGAGUACCACCGGGUCUGAAUCCAUACCGAGGCUUUCCAAGCCAUGCAGAUGAUCCAAACCAUAGAUCUACCCUUCCUAAGUCCAUCCAUCACAUAAAGUGGAAAACUUUACGUGAAUCCAAGGAGAUCUAGGCAUUUUCACUUUAGGGUUUGGGCUUGGGACAAGAUAGCUCCUUCAAUCACUCACAAACAGGGACUUUUGUGCAUUCUAGCCCUUUUCCAUUCCAGAUCUGAGGUAGAAACCUCAGAUCUAACCUCUAAACUCCAAUACACCAAAAGAUAUGAUCUCUAACACCCCCAAAAAUGAUGAAUCUAGACAAUAGCGACCAAAAGUCGCGACCCUACUCGCCGAUUCCACCCAUGGACUCGCCGAGUUCCCCUUCCCAAUAUACUCUUUUAGCCCUUCAACUCUUCUCUUGAUAUUUCGGGAUGUUACAAUUCUCCCCCACUUAGAUUAGGCUUCGUCCUCGAAGCCUACAACAAUUCAAUCCCAAAGAUACUCCCACAACGCGCCACCUGGCCUUAACCGGGCCAAGUCCCUCAGGGCAUACCCAUCAAAACUCAAACACACUUUCUGUUUCCUUACGGACCUGACCACCAUCUCGAGCCGGGCACCGGCUGUACCCUCUGAUAAUCACACUCAAUAACCGAGAAUUACCCAUGAAGCAUCACUGCCCCAAAUCUCAACAAUCACUCGACCCAUAAGGGCUAGAAAGCCAUGAACCAUCGGAUCCCCGAUCCAAAUCCCACUCUAUCCAUUUCGUGAUGACGGAAAGACCCAUUCUCAAUCUCAGAGCAACUCCCACGAGUUCUCCUCUUGCAAUCACAUACACAUGCUAAACUUGCUCCAGCACCCUCAGGUUGGGAAAACCCGAUACAUUGAUGAUAUCCUCCAACAUCCCCCACGAUGAACCACUAAUACAUAUCCAAUACCCUGAUCAGAAUCACGCUGAGAGCCCAAGACUCUCUCCCUGCAUCCCUUCCGAGUCUCUUGGCUCUACAUCUGCGGAAUUCCCUCCGCGAUCUCAGCAGACAUCCCAAACCGGAUGAGCUUUUAGUCCACUGCCGCAAACACGCUGCUCAAUAACCAUACUCGAAUUACUCUAUUCAUAACUCUGCUCUGCCGCUUUCACUUCCGUGAACUUGCACUCCUUCGCGGAGUUACACACCUCUCUCUUAUCCUUACCAAGGAAUCUACUUGACCACAUUGUCACUCUGACGAGUGCCACGAUGCUCACCCAACGCUACACCACCCUUUUUAUCGUAUCUGCUAUCCAUCCAACACACAUACUCUGACUCUCAUUGCAGGGACUCUCAAGCCCAUGCACUAUCUCCACUAAUCAAGAUCACUACCUGGGGCCAGACGUUCUAAUGCAAUCACACUGCAACAUACACAAUCCAUAUCCUCAAACUGAUCCAACAAUACCUACAGAUUCUUCAGCAUGACUGGACCGCCUCACCAGGCCUUCAGCCCAUCUGGACCACUCUCAGAACCUUCAGCCAAUCUAAACNCAGUGCCUUCAGUUUGGCUGGAUCGUUCUCCGAGCCUUCGGCCUGACUGGUACGCCUACCGGCCUUCAGUCUAUCCGGACCGCUCAACUAUCAUUCAACAUUCCGAGCUAUCCACCCCUCCGGAAAUCCUCCCAUGCAUACCAUUCUAGCCCUCUAGGGGUUCCGAACUCUAACUCCAUCAUACAUACUCGAUCCCAGCCUGCUCCUAGGCCCUCCACAAUCAAAUGCCCUAGGUCUGUAUCGCGCCCCGCAUGCCCGACACUUACUCCUAUCAGCCUAUACUCUGGGUUGACAGAACACUUGUUGAAUCCCAACAGCUAAGCACCCUCAAAUACUCAUCGAUCUCCCGGAGAAUUCUCCAAUUCUCCCCCACUUGUAACACUGAUUAACAACCAUCGGUCGCCAUCACCGACCUCUCAGAACAACUCUGCACAAAGAAAACACUUACACGCGGACUGCUUCCCACAAGCAUAAACAACCUUAACAAGAUCUCACAUCAACACUGAUCAACCUGCUCGAAAGACACUCAAUCUGCAUCUAACCACUCCUCGGAAAGCAGAUGCCACCCGGCCUACAACCCAAUGCCGGGUUUCCACUAAUAACUGUCAUGGAUGAUAACCAACGAAAUUCCCAAAACAAUAACCCAUAACCAAAACCACAACCCGCAAAAUGACGAAUACCACAUCGAAAACUAAACAAAAUACCAGCACAUAAACAAUACACCACAAUAUUCACAAGAUAACAAGAUAUCAAGAAAGAAACAUACCUGCAGCUGCAUCCGGCACUGCUCUGACCUCCUCUGCUGCAAGCUGAAAAGCACGACCCUGAGCCCUUGGGGGCUCCGCUCCACCCUGACCUCCACCUGUGAUCCUCAAAGUGGCCGGUGCUGGAGCCUGCACCGGUCCUGCAACAAGCUGUGGACAGUUGACCCUCAAAUGCCCAACCUGAUGACAAUGAUAGCAAAUCCUCAAAUCCCGAACUGGCGCUGACUGCCGACAAUCCCUCGCAUAGUGCCCCUCCUUUCCGCACUUGCGGCAUGCACCACCGGACCUACAAACCCCGAUGUGACCCCUCCCACACUUCCCACAAGUGUGACUGCUCAGAUCCCCCACUCUAACAUCAACGGUCUUGGACCGUUUCGGCGCCGGCUGCGACUGCACCGGAGCCUGCCUCAGCUCACGCAACUGCAACUCAAUCUCUAACUCACGCCGCCUAGCGGCCUCCUGCAACUCCAACAAGGUCUCGCACCUCUGCGCAGACACAAACUGUCUGAUGUCCCUCUUGAGCAUGCUCAGAUAUCGAGACAUCUGAGCCUGCUCCGAAGCGAACUCUGGGCAAAACAUCGCCCUCUCAGUGAACAUCCUGGUGAUCUCAGUCACCGACUCCGAACCCUGCUUCAGCUCAAGGAACUCCUGAGCCAAUCUCUCCCUCUCAACUUGCGGAACAUAACGAGUGCUGAACAUUUCUCUGAACUGAUCCCAUGAAACCGCAGCCCUCUGCGCAUCCGAAUAUGACCCCGUGGUCAAUCUCCACCAAUCCUUCGCCCCGAGCCUCAACAGGUUCAGAGCACACCUCACCCUCUGAUCAGCAGGGCAUGAACACGUGAAGAAACACCCCUCCACGUCUGAUAACCACCUCAUAGCAACAAUCGGGUCCUGAACUCCAUCGAAUGUGGGAGGCUUCGUAUUAUCGAAGUCCCGAUACUGAAAACCCCGACUAGCUCCUCCCCCUGCCGCUGCUACAGCCGCUGUAGCCGCCGCGGCAGCCGUCUCAGUGAGAGCUGCAUAGCGCUCAUCAAAAUACUCAACCAUGGCGGUCUUAAUCGACCCAAACAGCUCUGGCAACUCAGCCCGGAACAACUCAGCAAUCUCAUCACGCAGGAUCUCACGAAUCCUCGCAUCCAACUCGCUCGUGCUCAUCUGACCGAUAACCUCGGGCGGCACCGAUCCGCCCGGAACUCUCUCUCCAGCUCCCGAUCCUGAUCCGGAUCCACUCUCAUCAUGCCUCGGAAUCUCCAUACUGAAAAACACCACACAAAAUCUCAGACUCUUCCCACAACCUGGGAUCCAACUCUCUCAACCCAACCCUAGAGAUCAUGGUUUCCCUGAUACGCGUAUGGGUCCUGUGCUUUCAGUAGUACGGGCCCAUACUACCUUCCACACCUACCCAUAUUUGUAUGAAGUACUACCACAACGCCCUAGAGAAACAUGCAUAACAACGCUCAACCCUCACCACUAGAGGAACACUGAAAAUAUCCCAUAAGGAACCCUAGGCUACAGGCAUCACAAAUCAGGCAACAUAUCAUGAAAUCCUGAAGAUCCCUAGCCUAUCACUAGCAUGUUGUUCUAUCAAAGCUCAAAAACAAAUAACAUGCAUGGUAUUUUGGGGUUACUUACUGGCUCCGGCUGAUCGUACCUCCGCGUCCUCCCUUACUCAUUUUGAAAACCAUUUUAAAUACUCUUUUGAAAACUCUCCUCGAUUUGAGACUGGAGUCACACGAAUGUUCCUCCAAUUCACUCAAACCAAGGCUCUGAUACCAACUUGUAACGACCGAAAAAUACAACCAAUUUUAAAUUUUUCAAAAACAUCUCGAUUCCAUUAAAUCUUUACAAAAAGGUUUUCAAUACAAAACAUUUAACGUGUUCCCAGAAUCACAAUACUACAAAAUCAUGAGGAGCGGUACGAUCACGCCUUCGCCUUGCCACAGUCUCCUGAAGAACCUGAAAAACAUGAAACCACAACUGUAAGCCCGAAAGCUUAGUGAGAUAUCCCCAAAAUACCAACCACAAAUACCAUACACGCAUAACAUGCCAUAACAUAUCCGAUCACAGAACAGCCAUGCACUUCGGGUCUACUGUGUGACUGGUCCGCCGCACCGGCCUACAGUCCACCUGGUCCACCCUCUGAGUCUAUCCACAUACAUCGAGUCUGCAGUGUGAUUGGUCCGCCCGCACCGGGCCUUCAAUCCACCUGGUCCACUCUCUGAGUCUACAGUAUGACUGGUCCGCCCGCACCGGGCCUUCAGUCGGCCUGGUCCACUCUCCGAGCCUCGGCACGUCUGGUCCGCCCUCUUGGGGCCUACAGCCUAUCCGGACCGCUCGCUGGGCCUUCGGGACAACCGGUCCGCCCUGGGUAUCUUGGCCUACAGCACACAGCAGGACCCGCCUCAACCCAACUCCAGUCCAAACAACCAUGUGCACAUAUACAUACAAUCAUAUAGCAAUUCACAGUCAACAAGCAGAUCAAACAGAUCACAUAACAUAUCAUCAUCCUAACCAGGAUACCGACCUAACAGGUCACUAGCAUAGCAUCUCCCUAUCUCUCAGGAUACCGAUCUCAAUCAGGUCUCUAACAUAUACCAUCCUAGCUCCCAGGAUGCAAACAUAUCAAAGCAAUAACAUAACAACAACUACCCGGAUCUCAAUCCGAUAAGGGCCGGCCUUGGUGCCUUAGACCCUGUUGAUAUAGUGAGGAUAACUCACCUCG
Molecule: long non-coding RNA, 7983 nt
Filed under: Lactuca sativa (garden lettuce)
Lineage: Eukaryota; Viridiplantae; Streptophyta; Magnoliopsida; Asterales; Asteraceae
Description: long non-coding RNA (LSAT_LNC009758)
Source: RNAcentral